Molecule: ribosomal RNA, 440 nt
Filed under: uncultured bacterium
Lineage: Bacteria
Description: partial 16S ribosomal RNA
Rfam family: Bacterial small subunit ribosomal RNA
Source: RNAcentral
CCUACGGGCGGCAGCAGUGGGGAAUAUUGCACAAUGGAGGGAACUCUGAUGCAGCGACGCCGCGUGAGUGAAGAAGGAAUUCGUUAUGUAAAGCUCUAUCAGCAGGGAAGAAAGUGACGGUAACUGAAAAAGAAGCUACGGCGAAAUACGGGCCAGCAGCCGCGGUAAUACGUAUGGAGCAAGCGUUAUCCGGAUUUACUGGGUGUAAAGGGAGAGUAGGUGGCAGGGCCAGUCCGACGUGAAAACCCAAAGCUCCACUAUGGGAAUGCUUUAGAAACUGCUCAGCUAGAGUGCAGGAGAGGCAAGUGGAAUUCUUAGUGUAGCGGUGCAAUGCGUAGAUAUUAGGAGGAACUCCAGUGGCGACGGCGGCUUGCUGGACUGUAACUGCCACUGAGGCUCGAACGCGUGGGGAGCAAACAGGAUUAGAUACCCCAGUAGUC